This 254-nucleotide ribosomal RNA is filed under the name uncultured bacterium. RNAcentral describes it as "partial 16S ribosomal RNA". It matches the Rfam family "Bacterial small subunit ribosomal RNA", at positions 524 to 776 of the family's 1533-position model. The record is from RNAcentral.
UACGGGGGGAGCAAGCGUUGUUCGGAUUUACUGGGCGUAAAGGGCGCGUAGGCGGCCAGCACAAGUCAGUUGUGAAAUCUCCGGGCUUAACUCGGAAAGGUCAACUGAUACUGUGCGGCUAGAGUGCAGAAGGGGCAACUGGAAUUCUCGGUGUAGCGGUGAAAUGCGUAGAUAUCGAGAGGAACACCUGCGGCGAAGGCGGGUUGCUGGGCUGACACUGACGCUGAUGCGCGAAAGCCAGGGGUGCGAACGGG